This 338-nucleotide long non-coding RNA is filed under the name Setaria viridis. Its description in RNAcentral is "long non-coding RNA (SVIR_LNC008777)". The record is from RNAcentral. Lineage: Eukaryota; Viridiplantae; Streptophyta; Magnoliopsida; Poales; Poaceae.
UGUUGUUGAAAAGUGUGUGUGUGUGUGAGAGAGAGAGAGAGAUAAGACCACAAGCGAAAGCCAAGUAGCUAUGGAGCCCUCCUAGCCCCUUCGAGCCGAUGCCAAACCCUUUCUUCGAAUAAGUUGAUUGAAUAAUACUAUUUGCAAAAAUCUCACCCUAUUAAACAAGAACUGAUUUUUGCAUGGUAAAAUAUUAAAUAUUUCAAUUUUUUGUAGCACCAUCAAAUAUUAAACAAUAAAUUUAUGUACAAUUAAACAAGUACAUGAUUAAGUCAUGGUAAACAUGUUAAUAAUACUAUAGGCACUAUUCUUCUAAAUUUUUGCAUGGUCAAAAAAUC